CAGUCGCCACGGGAAUACGUAGGUGGCAAGCGUUGUCCGGAAUUAUUGGGCGUAAAGGGCUCGCAGGCGGUUUCUUAAGUCUGAUGUGAAAGCCCCCGGCUCAACCGGGGAGGGUCAUUGGAAACUGGGAAACUUGAGUGCAGAAGAGGAGAGUGGAAUUCCACGUGUAGUGGUGAAAUGCGUAGAGAUGUGGAGGAACACCAGUGGCGAAGGCGACUCUCUGGUCUGUAACUGACGCUGAGGAGCGAAAGCGUGGGGAGCGAACAGGAUUAGAUACCCCAGUAGUCCCUGUCUCUUAUAC
This 301-nucleotide ribosomal RNA is filed under the name uncultured bacterium. RNAcentral describes it as "partial 16S ribosomal RNA". It matches the Rfam family "Bacterial small subunit ribosomal RNA", at positions 509 to 807 of the family's 1533-position model. The record is from RNAcentral.